Molecule: ribosomal RNA, 417 nt
Filed under: Fusarium tricinctum
Lineage: Eukaryota; Fungi; Ascomycota; Sordariomycetes; Hypocreales; Nectriaceae
Description: eukaryotic LSU rRNA
Rfam family: 5.8S ribosomal RNA (bases 76-229)
Source: RNAcentral
AGUACGGCCCGGCACAUGACCCAAACUCUAAUGUUUCUUAUUGUAACUUCUGAGUAAAACAAACAAAUAAAUCAAAACUUUCAACAACGGAUCUCUUGGUUCUGGCAUCGAUGAAGAACGCAGCAAAAUGCGAUAAGUAAUGUGAAUUGCAGAAUUCAGUGAAUCAUCGAAUCUUUGAACGCACAUUGCGCCCGCUGGUAUUCCGGCGGGCAUGCCUGUUCGAGCGUCAUUUCAACCCUCAAGCCCCCGGGUUUGGUGUUGGGGAUCGGCUCUGCCCUUCUGGGCGGUGCCGCCCCCGAAAUACAUUGGCGGUCUCGCUGCAGCCUCCAUUGCGUAGUAGCUAACACCUCGCAACUGGAACGCGGCGCGGCCAUGCCGUAAAACCCCAACUUCUGAAUGUUGACCUCGGAUCAGGUA